RNAcentral lists this unclassified non-coding RNA (733 nucleotides) under Hevea brasiliensis (rubber tree). The record is from RNAcentral. Lineage: Eukaryota; Viridiplantae; Streptophyta; Magnoliopsida; Malpighiales; Euphorbiaceae.
AUUUAUAGCACCCAAGAAACAAACAAGUUUCUCACUCUUUAAGCUGACCCAUAGAUUUUUUGAUUGAUUCAUCUUCUCUGAUUCUUUUAUUUUCUCAUAUUUCCAUUUCUUGAAGCUCUUCUAAGAAAAACCCACAAAAAAUGAUUCAUUUCUGAAAUCAAUCACUCUGUUUUCUUGGUUAUUUGGGUAUAGAGGGAUUUGAAUUUUUUAUUUUCUUUCCAAAGUUGCAAUCUUUUCAGUGUAUUGUUAUUUGGGGUUUUUCUUGAUUUGGGUUGGAAAAAAGGGGUGAAUCAAAAAGUUGGUUUUUGAGAUUUUCUUGGAUUUGGGUGUUGUGGGUAUUGGUUAAAAUUGAGUCUUUUGUUCAUUUAAGUUUUUGAUCUGUUGGGGGUAUUCUUGGAAGUUUGUGGUUGUUGUUUGGUGAAUUGAUGAGAGUUUGAAGUGGAUUGGUGAUUGUGAGAGAUUGUUUGAAUGGCUUUAAAAGAGUUGAUUGAGAUCAAGUUCAGGCUUGCUGAUGGCAGUGAUAUUGGACCCAACAAGUAUACACCUGCCACCACAGUGGGUUCUCUUAAAGAAAAGAUAAUUGCCCAGUGGCCCAAAGAUAAAGAUUCUGGGCCAAAGACAAUAAAUGAUGUGAAGCUUAUUAAUGCUGGAAUGAUACUUGAGAACAAUAGAACACUUGGUGAAUCAAGACUUCCAGUUGCUGAAGUUGCAGGAGGUGUCAUCACUAUGCAUG